GCCGGGAGUGGUGGUGCAUGCCUGUAAUCCCAGUGGCUCAGGAGGCUGAGACAGGAGGAUCGCGAGUUUAAAGCCAGUAUUGGCAAUUUAGAAGGCUGUAAGCCACCUAGUGAGACCCUGUCUCAA
RNAcentral lists this small RNA (126 nucleotides) under Marmota monax (woodchuck). The record is from RNAcentral. Lineage: Eukaryota; Metazoa; Chordata; Mammalia; Rodentia; Sciuridae.